Molecule: long non-coding RNA, 211 nt
Organism: Scomber scombrus (Atlantic mackerel)
Lineage: Eukaryota; Metazoa; Chordata; Actinopteri; Scombriformes; Scombridae
Exons: 3
Source: RefSeq, a predicted model, not a curated record
AAAGUUCACUCAGAAGCGUGUGUGGGACGAGCUGGAAAUGUGGCACUCGAGUCUGGCGGCGGUGGACGCGGACGUGCAGGACUUGGAGAUGCCUGAGGAGACGCUGAUGCUCACAGAGAGACUGGUGGAGGUGCAGCAGCUCUACGCUCACAUGGCCAAACAGGCGGAGCAGAGGACCACUUUCCUCAGCAAGAUGCACACGUGGAUUCAG